AGCAGCCGCGGUAAUUCCAGCUCCAAUAGCGUAUAUUAAAGUUGUUGCAGUUAAAAAGCUCGUAGUUGAAUUUCGGGAUCAAUAUAUCGGUCGUGCCUCCGGUAUGCACUGGUAUUAUUGAUUUCUACCUUCUGACGAACCAUGAUGUCAUUAAUUUGGUGUCAUGGGGAAUCAGGACUGUUACUUUGAAAAAUUAGAGUGUUUAAAGCAGGCACACGCUUGAAUACAUUAGCAUGGAAUAAUGAAAUAGGACGUUUGACCCUAUUUUGUUGGUUUCUAGGAUCGACGUAAUGAUUAAUAGGGAUAGUUGGGGGCAUUAGUAUUCAAUUGUCAGAGGUGAAAUUCUUGGAUUUAUUGAAGACUAACUACUGCGAAAGCAUUUGCCAAGGAUGUUUUCAUUAAUCAAGAACGAAAGUUAGGGGAUCGAAGACGAUCAGAUACCGUCGUAGUCUUAACCAUAAACUAUGCCGACUAGGGAUCGGAUGAUGUUAAUUUUAAUGACUCAUUC
This 508-nucleotide ribosomal RNA is filed under the name uncultured Glomeromycotina. Its description in RNAcentral is "SSU rRNA". It matches the Rfam family "Eukaryotic small subunit ribosomal RNA", at positions 569 to 1081 of the family's 1831-position model. The record is from RNAcentral. Lineage: Eukaryota; Fungi; Glomeromycota.